Long non-coding RNA from Glycine soja, 93 nucleotides. RefSeq lists it as uncharacterized. The record is from RefSeq and is a predicted model, not a curated record. The transcript has 3 exons. NCBI's taxonomy places the organism in Eukaryota, Viridiplantae, Streptophyta, Magnoliopsida, Fabales, Fabaceae.
CAACAAUCUCACUCGAUAAUGCAUAUGCUAGGCAGAGCAAGCCAAACAUUACUUGAAGGAAAAAAAAACACAUCAUUCAAAGAGCACAUAAAA